AGAGUUUGAUCAUGGCUCAGGACGAACGCUGGCGGCGCGCUUAAUACAUGCAAGUCGAGCGAGAACCAUGGCUUCGGCCAUGGGGACAGCGGCGAACGGGUGAGUAACACGUGGGUAAUCAACCCCCGACACCGGGAUAGCCCAGGGAAACUUGGAUUAAUACCGGAUGCCCCAUCUGGCUUUCGAGCCGGCUGGAAAAGGGUAGCUUCGGCCUCCGGUCGGGGACGAGCCCGCGGCGGAUUAGCUUGUUGGUGAGGUAACGGCUCACCAAGGCGACGAUCCGUAGCUGGUCUGAGAGGACGAUCAGCCACACUGGGACUGAGACACGGCCCAGACUCCUACGGGAGGCAGCAGUAGGGAAUCUUGCGCAAUGGGCGAAAGCCUGACGCAGCGACGCCGCGUGAGGGAAGACGGCCUUCGGGUUGUAAACCUCUUUCAGGAGGGACGAAGCCACUCGGGUUAAUAGCCCAGAGGGUGACGGUACCUCCAGAAGAAGCCCCGGCUAACUACGUGCCAGCAGCCGCGGUAAUAC
RNAcentral lists this ribosomal RNA (532 nucleotides) under uncultured bacterium. RNAcentral's name for it is "bacterial SSU rRNA". It matches the Rfam family "Bacterial small subunit ribosomal RNA", at positions 8 to 526 of the family's 1533-position model. The record is from RNAcentral.